CCCUUAGAUGUUCUGGGCCGCACGCGCGCUACACUGAUGCAUUCAACGAGUUUCUUCCUGGUCCGAGAGGAAUGGGUAACCUUUUGAAAGUGCAUCGUGAUAGGGAUAGACUAUUGCAAUUAUUGGUCUUCAACGAGGAAUUCCUAGUAGACGUAGUUCAUCAGACUGCAUCGAUUACGUCCCUGCCCUUUGUACACACCGCCCGUUGCUCCUACCGAUUGAAUGCUCAGGUGAGCCAUUCGGACUUUCAUCAUGCUGGUUUCCAGUUUUGAUGAAGGAAAGUCUUGCGAACCUUAUCAUUUAGAGGAAGGAGAAGUCGUAACA
This 324-nucleotide ribosomal RNA is filed under the name uncultured eukaryote. RNAcentral describes it as "partial 18S ribosomal RNA". It matches the Rfam family "Eukaryotic small subunit ribosomal RNA", at positions 1470 to 1796 of the family's 1831-position model. The record is from RNAcentral.